GAUGAAGAACGUAGCGAAAUGCGAUACGUAAUGUGAAUUGCAGAAUUCAGUGAAUCAUCGAAUCUUUGAACGCACAUUGCGCCUGCCAGCACUCUGGCAGGCAUGCCUGUUCGAGCGUCAUUUCAACCAUCAAGCCCUAGGCUUGCGUUGGAGCCCUGCGGCUGCCGCAGGCCCCUAAAAGCAGUGGCGGGCUCGCUAUCACACCGAGUGCAGUAGAUUACUCUUCGCUCAGGGCGUGUGGCGGGUUCCAGCCGUGAAACCCCCUACUUCUCAAGGUUGACCUCGGAUCAGGUAGUAAUACCCGCUGAACUUAAGCAUAUCAAUAAGCGGAGGGA
Molecule: unclassified non-coding RNA, 335 nt
Filed under: soil metagenome
Description: partial contains 5.8S ribosomal RNA, internal transcribed spacer 2, and large subunit ribosomal RNA
Rfam family: 5.8S ribosomal RNA (bases 1-120)
Source: RNAcentral